This 520-nucleotide ribosomal RNA is filed under the name Salmo environmental sample. RNAcentral's name for it is "partial 16S ribosomal RNA". It matches the Rfam family "Bacterial large subunit ribosomal RNA", at positions 1939 to 2607 of the family's 2925-position model. The record is from RNAcentral. Lineage: Eukaryota; Metazoa; Chordata; Actinopteri; Salmoniformes; Salmonidae.
AUUUUGACCGUGCGAAGGUAGCGCAAUCACUUGUCUUUUAAAUGAAGACCUGUAUGAAUGGCAUCACGAGGGCUUAGCUGUCUCCUCUUCCAAGUCAAUGAAAUUGAUCUGCCCGUGCAGAAGCGGACAUAAGUACAUAAGACGAGAAGACCCUAUGGAGCUUUAGACACCAGGCAGAUCACGUCAAGUAACCUUGAAUUAACAAGUAAAAACACAGUGACCCCUAGCCCCUAUGUCUUUGGUUGGGGCGACCGCGGGGGAAAACAAAGCCCCCAUGUGGACUGGGGGCACUGCCCCCACAACCAAGAGCCACAACUCUAAGCACCAGAAUUUCUGACCAAAAAUGAUCCGGCGAACGCCGAUCAACGGACCGAGUUACCCUAGGGAUAACAGCGCAAUCCUCUCCCAGAGUCCCUAUCGACGAGGGGGUUUACGACCUCGAUGUUGGAUCAGGACAUCCUAAUGGUGCAGCCGCUAUUAAGGGUUCGUUUGUUCAACGAUUAAAGUCCUACGUGAUCUG